UGGGGAAUUUUGGACAAUGGGGGCAACCCUGAUCCAGCCAUGCCGCGUGAGUGAAGAAGGCCUUCGGGUUGUAAAGCUCUUUCAGCCGGGAAGAAAUCGCAUCUCCUAAUACGGGGUGUGGAUGACGGUACCGGAAUAAGAAGCACCGGCUAACUACGCGCCAGCAGCCGCGGUAAUACGUAGGGUGCGAGCGUUAAUCGGAAUUACUGGGCGUAAAGCGUGCGCAGGCGGUUUCGUAAGACAGAUGUGAAAUCCCCGGGCUCAACCUGGGAACUGCAUUUGUGACUGCGAGGCUAGAGUAUGGCAGAGGGGGGUGGAAUUCCACGUGUAGCAGUGAAAUGCGUAGAGAUGUGGAGGAACACCAGUGGCGAAGGCGGCUUUCUGGACGGUGUCUGACACUGAGGCGCGAAAGCCAGGGGAGCGAACG
This 427-nucleotide ribosomal RNA is filed under the name uncultured bacterium. RNAcentral's name for it is "bacterial SSU rRNA". It matches the Rfam family "Bacterial small subunit ribosomal RNA", at positions 355 to 774 of the family's 1533-position model. The record is from RNAcentral.